UAGAUAUUCAAUGCUGGAAGGCUUGGAUAUCGAAAGCGCAAGCGCCAGAGGGUGAGUCUGCGGCCUAUCAGGUAGUAGGUGGUGUAACGGACCACCUAGCCUAAGACGGGUACGGGCCUUGAGAGAGGGAGCCCGGAGAUGGGUUCUGAGACACGAACCCAGGCCCUACGGGGCGCAGCAGGCGCGAAACCUUCGCACUGCGCGAAAGCGCGACGAGGGGAGCCCGAGUGCCUCUCCAUUUCGGGGAGGCUUUUCACAAGCCUAAAAAGCUUGUGGAAUAAGGGCUGGGCAAGACGGGUGCCAGCCGCCGCGGUAAUACCCGCAGCUCGAGUGGUGGUCGCUUUUAUUGAGCCUAAAACGUUCGUAGUCGGCCUUGUAAAUCCCUGGGUAAAUCGGACCGCUUAACGGUUCGAAUUCCGGGGAGACUGCAAGGCUAGGGACCGGGCGAGGUCAGAGGUACUUUCGGGGUAGGAGUGAAAUCCUGUAAUCCCGAAGGGACCACCUGUGGCGAAAGCGUCUGACUUGAACGGCUCCGACGAUGAGGAACGAAGGCUAGGGGAGCAAACCGGAUUAGAUACCCGGGUAGUCCUAGCUGUAAACUCUGCCCGCUUGGUGUGGCCUGUCCUUCGGGGGCAGGCUGUGCCGGAGCGAAGGUGUUAAGCGGGCUGCUUGGGGAGUACGGCCGCAAGGUUGAAACUUAAAGGAAUUGGCGGGGGAGCACCGCAACGGGAGGAUGCGUGCGGUUUAAUGGAGUCAACGC
This 760-nucleotide ribosomal RNA is filed under the name uncultured Thermoplasmatales archaeon. RNAcentral's name for it is "bacterial SSU rRNA". It matches the Rfam family "Archaeal small subunit ribosomal RNA", at positions 156 to 918 of the family's 1478-position model. Lineage: Archaea; Methanobacteriati; Thermoplasmatota; Thermoplasmata; Thermoplasmatales. The record is from RNAcentral.